Prionailurus viverrinus (fishing cat) is the source of this 186-nucleotide long non-coding RNA. RefSeq lists it as uncharacterized. The record is from RefSeq and is a predicted model, not a curated record. The transcript has 3 exons. NCBI's taxonomy places the organism in Eukaryota, Metazoa, Chordata, Mammalia, Carnivora, Felidae.
GCGGGGGAUGGGGGAUGGACAUUGAGGAGAGCAUUUGUUGGGAUGAGCACUGGGUGUUGUACGUAAGUGAAGAAUCACAGGAAUCUAAUCCCAGAACCAAGAGCACACUGUAUACACUGUAUGUUAGCCAACUUGACAAUAAAUUAUAUUUAAAAAAAAAAAUAAAGAGAAAGAAAAGAGAUUUAU